ACGAUGAUGGCCGCAGCGAGAACGGCGUUCGUCUCCGGCGACCUACUUCCACUCAACGUCUCCUCCUCGGCGUCAAUCCCCACCCUGGCAAAAACCCAAGGUAUCACCAAAUCCAUCUCGUUCGGUUCUGGGCGCCGUCGCCGGCCGCGAGAUCCACAGUCCAUACCUACCACCAGGCAAGCCUCCUCUGCUAUCUAGAGAUAUUUUCCGCCAUAUUGAAAAACAUCACCCGAAAAAUCCAACAUAUGUACUAUUGCUCAGAUUUAGUGAUAAUAUUGAUAUGCAGUUCAGAUAGCUAGUACAUAUUUGCAGUUUAAAGAUAAUAUUAUUAGUACAUUAUUGUUCCAGUGCAUUGUGAAACAUACUUCUCACAAGAAGAACUAUGAUAGAUUACCAAAGUAGUUACAAAAUAUGAUGUGCAUAGAUUGCGAUGGAUUUUCUUGUGCUCAGUAUCCCACCUAUUUCAUCUUGGACCAGAUAGAAUCGAUGCAGAGGGUGGAGC
RNAcentral lists this long non-coding RNA (502 nucleotides) under Oryza sativa (Asian cultivated rice). RNAcentral describes it as "long non-coding RNA (OSAT_LNC000741)". Lineage: Eukaryota; Viridiplantae; Streptophyta; Magnoliopsida; Poales; Poaceae. The record is from RNAcentral.